UGAAAUCCACAACUUCAAGGGUUUUGAGCAGCAUAGCCCCCUGCUGUCAACACUGCCACCGGCAGCUUCUAGCAAGGCCAACCCUUGGAACCUUCUGGACACCAUGUGGGGACGGAGGCCCAGGCAUCUGGAGAUGAAAGGCACAGGGCCAGCUGCAGCCCCAGCCACCACCAAGGAGGCAGCCUAGUCGGUCUUCCCAGGGUUUUCCUCCAGGGCCAUGUGGUUCCAGCCCAAACCCUCCUGCCCCACAAUAGACACAUGGCUCCUGUGGCGUUCACAGAUAGUCCUGAGAAGAGGAACUGGCCUUGAUAUCUGGGCUGUAAAUGGACAUGAAUAUUCAUGGACAUGGCCUAGUGGGUCUCUAGAACCCAUCCAUGUGAGAGUGUACAAAUCUAAAGGCUGUACUGUGUGUGGCAGGAGCCUUCCCUGAGGCAGCAGAGAUACCUCCUUUCAUGUUUGUGGUUACUAGCGAAGCCACCCUUCCCUUUGCACCCAUGACUGACUCAUCAGCAGUUGGCUUCCGAGAGACGAGGAACAGCAAGCUGUGACUGGAAGCUGUUGGGAGCUUCCUUGCUCUGGCACUGGCUAAAACUAGGUCCUAGGCUUACUGUAGAAGCUGGAUGGCUGCUGGCAAGCUCAUGUAAGCUGAGCCCCAGGCACAGACUCAGAGGGAUCCCACCUGGACUGGCUCCCUGAGUCUGUAGGCAAUGACAGUUAAAGCAGGCUUGAAGGGCUUCAGGGGCAAAGCUGAGUCCCUACCAAACAUCAACUGGAUGCUUCAGCUCCAAGCUUCCCACUGGGAUAUCAUCCCUGCAUUUAGAGAUGCCAUCAUCCUUCUAGGAAGACCUGGCAGACCUCAGGGCCUGGCCACUGUUAGCUGGACUCAGCAGCAUCAUGGCAGGCAGGUGGUCUGGCAGUGGGGUGGGGUGCUGGUCUGGAGAGAUGGGCAAGAUGCCGCCUCUCCCCUGGAAAAGACUGCAAAGCUGAAGACAUCAUAUACAAAGUUUGGGCAGCUGAUGGGAGAAGGAAGCGUUCCUGUAGGAGCCUCUCUGGAUUGAGCCCCCUCCGCGAUGCCAUUCACAAUGUGGUAACCCAGAUGACAGAAGCUUGCCCAUCAGAAGCUGAAUUAACAGAACUGUCCAAUUGGGGACUUUCAAUCUUCGAAAUCAAAGGCUAAAUAAAAUUAUCUUCUUAUCAAUAAAG
Molecule: non-coding RNA, 1203 nt
Organism: Cricetulus griseus (Chinese hamster)
Lineage: Eukaryota; Metazoa; Chordata; Mammalia; Rodentia; Cricetidae
Source: RefSeq, a predicted model, not a curated record